Branchiostoma belcheri (Belcher's lancelet) is the source of this 379-nucleotide long non-coding RNA. RefSeq lists it as uncharacterized. NCBI's taxonomy places the organism in Eukaryota, Metazoa, Chordata, Leptocardii, Amphioxiformes, Branchiostomatidae. The record is from RefSeq and is a predicted model, not a curated record. The transcript is spliced from 3 exons.
CGUGACCCCACGACCAGGCCGCGGGACGUGGAGCGCGGGUAGCCCGGCCAAUCUGGAGCAGCGCACGGGCGUAGAAUGCAGGCAGCCCCGGCCAACAGCGCGCGGACGUGGAAAGCGGGUGUCCCGCGGCCCGGUCAACCCUCGCCGGAGCAGCGCGCACACUUGGAAGGCCCCCGGAUUUUAGUCGUGCAGGCACGGAGCUCUACAUGACGAAAAACACAAAAGUUACUCAAGAAUACAAGACAGAAGAAGUGGAACAAAAUACCAGGUAAAUUUCGCCAUGUCUCACCCUGAGAUGCAGACUGCAGCAGGGAUUCACUGGCAAGCACGAAGCCCAGUCAAGGAAGGAUCGGGGUGUGCAUUCAUGUUUUGCACGCAA